AAUGAGCGCUGGCGGCAUGCCUAACACAUGCAAGUCGAACGAAGGCUUCGGCCUUUGUGGCGCCUGGGUGUGUCACGCGUCGGAAUAUGCACCUUGGUUUGGCCUACCUGUUAGACAUGACUGCUAUUACCGGAUGAUGACUAAUGCCGAAUGAUGUAUCGCCGCGGGAUGAGCACGCGUAGAAUUAGCUUGUUGGUUUGGUAAGAGCGCACCAAGGCGACGAUCAUUAGCUGGUCUGAGAGAAGGAUCAGCCACACUGGGACGGGGACACGGCGCAGACUCCUACGGGAGGCAGCAGUGGGGAAUAUUGGACAAUGGGCGAAAGCCUGAGCCAGCAAUGCCGCGUGAGUGAUGAAGGCCGUAGGGUUGUAAAGCUCUUUUACCCGGGAUGAUAAUGACAGUACCGGGAGAAUAAGCUCCGGCUAACUCCGUG
Molecule: ribosomal RNA, 433 nt
Filed under: uncultured bacterium
Lineage: Bacteria
Description: partial 16S ribosomal RNA
Rfam family: Bacterial small subunit ribosomal RNA
Source: RNAcentral